GGGGAUUUAGCUCAGCGGCAUAAGCACCUGCUUUGCAAGCAGAUAGCCGUGGAUUCAAUCCCCA
This 64-nucleotide transfer RNA is filed under the name Cavia porcellus (domestic guinea pig). It matches the Rfam family "tRNA". From Rfam's summary of the family: Transfer RNA (tRNA) molecules are approximately 80 nucleotides in length. Their secondary structure includes four short double-helical elements and three loops (D, anti-codon, and T loops). Lineage: Eukaryota; Metazoa; Chordata; Mammalia; Rodentia; Caviidae. The record is from Rfam by way of RNAcentral.